AGAUCUGGAGUUGAUCUGAGGUCGUUUGAGGCACGGGUGAGAUCUCCAUCAACAGAUCUACAAAAAGGCUGCAGCAGGACAGAUCUGCGAGGUCUGUCUCCAUCUAUCUUCUUCCCUAUCUAGAAUACCCUGAUUCAAGAUCUACAAAUUGGAGGACCUCGGUUCAGGUCUUAUCUGGUUGGGUACCAAAUCUUAUAUUUUUUAGAGAUGGUUUCAAAGGUGUUCUUCAUCUGGAA
Molecule: long non-coding RNA, 236 nt
Filed under: Elaeis guineensis (African oil palm)
Lineage: Eukaryota; Viridiplantae; Streptophyta; Magnoliopsida; Arecales; Arecaceae
Description: long non-coding RNA (EGUI_LNC061207)
Source: RNAcentral